AACGCAUCUUGCACUCUUUGGUAUUCCGAAGAGUAUGUCUGUUUGAGUGUCAUGAAUUCUUCAACCCUCCCUUUUCUUAGUGAAUUGAGAGGUGUUUGGAUUCUGAGUGUUGCUCCUAAUCCGAGCUCAUUCGUAAUGCAUUAGCAUCCAUAUUCGAAUUUCGGAUUGACUUGGCGUAAUAGACUAUUCGCUGAGGAAUCUAACUUCGGUUAGAGCCGUGUUUGAACUAGGAAGCUACUAAUCUAGCUUAGUCUACCUUUAGAUUAGAUCUCAAAUCAGGCAGGAUUACCCGCUGAACUUAA
RNAcentral lists this unclassified non-coding RNA (302 nucleotides) under uncultured Sporidiobolales. RNAcentral describes it as "sequence contains 5.8S rRNA gene, ITS2, 28S rRNA gene". The stretch from base 1 to 52 matches the Rfam family "5.8S ribosomal RNA", at positions 103 to 154 of the family's 154-position model. The record is from RNAcentral. Lineage: Eukaryota; Fungi; Basidiomycota; Microbotryomycetes; Sporidiobolales.